CUCCUUUUCACUUCGUGUGUGUAUG
Molecule: microRNA, 25 nt
Filed under: Echinococcus granulosus
Lineage: Eukaryota; Metazoa; Platyhelminthes; Cestoda; Cyclophyllidea; Taeniidae
Description: egr-miR-10291-3p
Source: miRBase by way of RNAcentral